RNAcentral lists this ribosomal RNA (253 nucleotides) under uncultured bacterium. Its description in RNAcentral is "partial 16S ribosomal RNA". It matches the Rfam family "Bacterial small subunit ribosomal RNA", at positions 524 to 776 of the family's 1533-position model. The record is from RNAcentral.
UACAGAGGGUGCAAACGUUGUUCGGAAUCACUGGGCAUAAAGCGCGCGUAGGCGGCCUUGUCAGUGCGGAGUGAAAGCCCACGGCUUACCCGUGGAAUUGCUUCGCAUACUGCAGGGCUCGAGGACGGUAGGGGAAAGCGGAACUCUUGGUGGAGCGGUGAAAUGCGUAGAUAUCAAGAGGAACACCAAAGGCGAAGGCAGCUUUCUGGUCCGUUUCUGACGCUGAGGUGCGAAAGCCAGGGUAGCGAACAGG